AGGUGGAGAAAGGGUUGAGGUUUUCCCAAAAAAAGGCUUUUUUACACCCGGUUUCUUGCCAUCCGGCACUCACAAAGUCCACCCGGUCUUCAGCCAACCAGUGGAAACACUUGAGGAAGAGGAGGAGGGUGAAGAGGGCGACGAAGCGAGGGCUGAAGUCAUCCCUGAAAACGGUGAAGGCCAGGCAGGUCUCCGUCACGGCGUACCACGACCGCUCGAGACAUGAUCAAACCUCUUUCUGGGGCGAUUUCUGAACCCGGCAGGAAAACAAGACCCUAAAACUAAUGAUGCCGCCAACGACUUGAUUUUAUUUAACCUGCUAACAAUUCCUAGCCCAGCCUGUCAGCGACGCCUCCUCCGCCGCUCCACGACUCUCAUUGGCUAACACCGCCCAGCGUCCCGCCUCUCCGCCUUUGACA
Molecule: long non-coding RNA, 419 nt
Organism: Harpia harpyja (harpy eagle)
Lineage: Eukaryota; Metazoa; Chordata; Aves; Accipitriformes; Accipitridae
Exons: 3
Source: RefSeq, a predicted model, not a curated record